GUAGGGAAUCUUCCGCAAUGGACGAAAGUCUGACGGAGCAACGCCGCGUGAGCGAAGAAGGCCUUCGGGUCGUAAAGCCCUGUUGUAAGGGAAGAACAAGCGCCGGUUAACUGCCGGCGCCCUGACGGUACCUUACCAGAAAGCCACGGCUAACUACGUGCCAGCAGCCGCGGUAAUACGUAGGUGGCAAGCGUUGUCCGGAAUUAUUGGGCGUAAAGCGCGCGCAGGCGGUCUUUUAAGUCUGAUGUGAAAGCCCACGGCUCAACCGUGGAGGGUCAUUGGAAACUGGGAGACUUGAGUGCAGAAGAGGAAAGCGGAAUUCCACGUGUAGCGGUGAAAUGCGUAGAGAUGUGGAGGAACACCAGUGGCGAAGGCGGCUUUCUGGUCUGUAACUGACGCUGAGGCGCGAAAGCGUGGGGAGCAAACAGGAUUAGAUACCCUGGUAGUCCACGCCGUAAACGAUGAGUGCUAAGUGUUAGGGGGUUUCCGCCCCUUAGUGCUGCAGCUAACGCAUUAAGCACUCCGCCUGGGGAGUACGGCCGCAAGGC
This 548-nucleotide ribosomal RNA is filed under the name uncultured Bacillus sp. RNAcentral describes it as "bacterial SSU rRNA". It matches the Rfam family "Bacterial small subunit ribosomal RNA", at positions 354 to 894 of the family's 1533-position model. Lineage: Bacteria; Bacillati; Bacillota; Bacilli; Caryophanales; Bacillaceae. The record is from RNAcentral.